CACUCACACCAUUCACCAGCAGUCCAUCACCUGCUAGGCUGCCCUCGUCCUCCUGAUGCUUCGCCUCUCCAUCACCGGCCUCACCUCACCUCUGCUCCCCACGCCCGCCCCCGCCGUCCGGCUCCGCCCGCGCCCCCUCAUCCGCCUCCGCCUCAGCGCCCUCGCCGCCGGCGCUGCCUCCUCGCUCUCGCCGUCCGCCCGCAGCCUCCGCCUCCUCGAGUGGGGCAAGGUAUGCGAAGCCGUCGCCUCCUUCGCCGGCACCGCCCACGGCCGCGACGCCACCAAGAAACAACUGUGGGAGGUGGAGGACGUGAGCUAUGAGAAGAGCCAGAGGCUGCUCCAGGAGACGGAGGCGGCCGUGUGGCUGCUUGACAACGCUGGUGGGGCGAUGGAUUUCUCUGGGCUGGAUACAGUUGCGAUAGAGUCGGCAAUACAUUGUGUCUCUGGAGGUGCCGUGAUAAAAGGCCUGGAAGCAGUAGCAGUUGCUAGUCUGAUGCUGUUUGCUGAAUCCCUGCAAGUAAAUAUUAAAGCUGCCAUGAAGCUGGAUGAAGGCUCGCGUAGUCGAUUAACAACUCUUACAGAAACAAUUUUAGAUGCUGCCAUUAACAGGUCACUUGUGAAAUCCAUACAAGAUAUCGUUGAUGAUGAUGGUUCUGUAAAAGAUACCGCGAGCCCUGAGCUAAGGCGGCAUAGAGAGCGAGUGCAGCUCCUAGAGAGCAGGUUAUACCAGCUUAUGGACAAGUUGAUGCGAAGUGCUGAUAAUGAAGCUUCCUUGAAGUAUGCAUUGUAAAUGGAAGAUGUUGUAUUAGAACAACCGGGGAUAAGUCUUCAACUUUUGACGGGUUACUGCUCUCCAGCGGAUCAGAUGCUGGAAAUAUGAUAGAACCAAUUGCUGCUGUUCUGUUGAACGAUGAGUUGCAGGAAUCAAGAGCUCUAGUGGCUAAAGCUGAACUGGAUGUCUUAUCAAAACUUACAGAUAAGAUUCUUCUUGAGCUUGAUAGCAUUCAAAGUUUGCUGCAGGAAACAAUUAGACUUGAUAAGGUCACAGCUCGCGCAAAAUACAGUAUAGCAUAUGAUGGCACAUUUCCUGAUCUGUACUUGCCGAACUUUGAGAACGAAACUGUUACUAGUGCUACAAGUGGGUCUGCCAAGGAAACUUUCUCAACUCACCCCACUAAAAAGGCAUGGAAACUGUACAUGCCAAAUGCAUAUCAUCCACUACUUCUCCAGAAAUAUCAGGAAAAUCUUGAUAGUGCGAAAAGAGAUGUUGCUAGUGCCGCAGCGGAGAUUCGGAGGAGGAGGAUAUACGGGCAAGAUAUUGCAGAAGAUCAACUGGCAUCAGUCCUCGAUUCUAUGAAACUUAGGGUUUCCCAGCUGGAGAAAGACCAGCCAGUACCAGUAGAUUUUAUGAUUGCUGAAGAAACUACGGUCUUGGUCAUAACUGGCCCAAAUACAGGGGGUAAAACAAUCAGCUUAAAGACGGUUGGCCUGGCAUCGUUGAUGGCUAAGAUAGGUCUGUACAUUCUAGCUUCUGAACCAGUAAAAAUCCCAUGGUUCAACGCUGUUUAUGCUGACAUUGGAGACGAGCAAUCUUUGACCCAGUCACUCUCUACAUUUUCUGGGCAUCUGAAGCAGAUUGGUGUAUGCUUUAGUAUUACAUUUUUCUAGUUUCUAAAUCCUAACUCUCUUAAAUGAUUGUGUUACUGAAUGUAUGCAUCUUUACACAAAAAGGUUAAGCUUCAUUUCUACAUGUCCGAAUCCGUAGUUAUCAAUAUGAAAUUCAAGCCUUCUUCUUUAUUAGGCCAUUCGCGCAGAGUCAACUUCAGAGUCUUUGGUCCUUUUGGAUGAGGUAAGCAGUUUAUCCACUAUCUUGAUAAAUAUUAGAUGCAUCUUGAUUCCUUGGCUAUGUUCGUAGGCAUGGUUUGCUGGCUGAUUAUGUUUUUCAUUAUGCUUUCUGUGGUAUUCUUGUCUCUUUUCUCUAACAGUCACAUCCCCCAUACUAUUCAUGCUGCAGAAAGUUCAGAUUAAAGAAUGCAUGUUUCUGAAUUCUGACAAAUACCCCUUGCAAAUUUGCAUUGGAGAUUGUUUAUGUUGUCAGAUUCCCAGAAUGCAUUGGUGUUUACAUUAUGGUCAUGUCGUAACCAUAUGCACUUGUACAGCAUUCUGCAUGAUCAGUAAAAUCUAGGUAGGGGUCUCCCCUCUGGACUUCCUCAAAAAUAAAAUGUUUUUCUGCCUUGGAUGGUUUAUGACUUGAUCUAUAUACGAGAGUUAGAAAGAAUUAGGGAUGAAGGAAGAUGAAUUAUGGUCAUGGAACACAUGGAUGCAUGUUAAUGCCAAAUUCUUUGUUUCAAGAUAACAUAUUUCCUCUAAUUAACAAGGCAUGACCCAAAGUAAAACGGCUUAGGAGUGCCUAGGGCACCUAGUGCCUAGUGCUUUUUGAAACAUUAGUUGGAUGUGGCAAUUGUUUGUAUUCUAAGAUUCUCAAAAUGCAUUGCUGUCGAUGAUACCUUGUGCUGAAGUCAUCACUAGAAUGUUUUUGCUGACGAAGGACUUUUUCAUGAUUCAAGCAUCCUCUGAACUUUAAGUCUUCUAAAUUCGUAGUGAUAUGUACUAGGUAGGUGCUGGGACAAACCCACUUGAAGGAGCAGCUUUGGGGAUGUCUCUUUUGGAAUCUUUUGCUGAAGUUGGCUCCUUUCUGACAUUAGCAACAACUCAUCAUGGAGAACUUAAAACACUGAAAUACAGCAAUAACUCAUUUGAGAAUGCAUGCGUGGAAUUUGAUGAGGAGAAUCUGAAGCCCACCUUCAAAAUAUUAUGGGGAAUACCAGGCCGGUCAAAUGCAAUAAAUAUUGCUGAAAGGCUGGGUUUGCCCUCGGAUAUAGUGGAAAGCUCUAGGCGUUUACUUGGAACAGCUGGUGCAGAGAUAAAUGCUUUGAUAAUGGACAUGGAAAGAUUCAAACAAGAUUAUCAACAAGAUCUUCAGAAGGCACAACACCUUCUUAUGCAGUCCAAGGAGCUUCAUAAUAACUUGGAACUGGCACAAAGGAAGAUUUUAGACCACACUUCUGCUCAGAGAAAACGGAAGGCGAGAGUAAUUUCAGAGUAUGCAGUUAUGGCCCGUUCUAUCAUUCGUAAGAAGUUUCAACAGUUCCAGGAAUCCGCAAUAGCUGAAAGAGUGAAAGAAGAGAAGGCUGCAGACAACGCCAAAUCUGAGAGAGUGAAGGAUCACAUGCCAACAAGUACUGCUGCCAUGGGAAAGGCACAUAAUACAGAUACCAACUUGGCCACAGCAGCCGACGACGGUAAAGAUGGAAUUCCGGAAGUUGGUGAUUCAGUUUAUGUUCCUAAGCUCAAGAACCAAGCUACUGUAGUCAAAAUAGAUUCGUCCAAAAAUGAAGUGCAAGUUCAAGCCGGAAUGAUGAAGCUCAAACUAAAGCUGCAAGAUGUUAAGGUUCAGAAGCGGAAAGUAUCAAGAUAGCACAACUACACAGUCCUAUGCUAGAGAGAUUCAGAUAAGUCAUAAGUGUGCAUGUGCUGUCUCAAUUCAAUUCCUAACAUUUCAUUUGCAACAACCUUUCAAGUUUCAAAUGAAAAUGUUGACCAUUAUCUGCAUGUAGUUUUACUUCUGGGCAAACUAGCAGUUGUCAAAAAAACAUCAAAACAGUUGCUGAACAGCUUCUGAGUUAUGAUUAUCAUAUGGGUAUGCAAUAUUUUAUCAUUAAGUUA
Molecule: RNA transcript, 3726 nt
Organism: Panicum virgatum (switchgrass)
Lineage: Eukaryota; Viridiplantae; Streptophyta; Magnoliopsida; Poales; Poaceae
Gene name: endonuclease MutS2-like
Exons: 18
Source: RefSeq, a predicted model, not a curated record